RNAcentral lists this microRNA precursor (108 nucleotides) under Pongo abelii (Sumatran orangutan). RNAcentral's name for it is "miRNA". Lineage: Eukaryota; Metazoa; Chordata; Mammalia; Primates; Hominidae. The record is from RNAcentral.
GCGGGCGGCGGCGGCGGCGGCAGCAGCAGCAGGUGCGGGGCGGCGGCCGCGCUGGCCGCUCGACUCCGCAGCUGCUCGUUCUGCUUCUCCAGCUUGCGCACCAGCUCC